CCUACGGGAGGCAGCAGUGGGGAAUAUUGCACAAUGGGGGAAACCCUGAUGCAGCGACGCCGCGUGAAGGACGAAGUAUUUCGGUACGUAAACUUCUAUCAGCAGGGAAGAAAUGACGGUACCUGACCAAGAAGCCCCGGCUAACUACGUGCCAGCGGCCGGGGUAAUACGUAGGUGGCAAGCGUUAUCCGGAUUUACUGGGUGUAAAGGGAGCGUAGACGGCCAUGUAAGUCUGAUGUGAAAACCCGGGGCUAAACCCGGGGACUGCAUUGGAAACUGUGCGGCUGGAGUGUCGAAGAGGCAAGUGGAAUGCCUAGUGUAGCGGUGAAAUGCGUAGAUAUUAGGAGGAACACCAGUUGCGAAGGCGUCUCGCUGGACGACGAUUGACGUUGAGGCUCGAAAGCGUGGGGAGCAAACAGGAUUAGAUACCCCAGUAGUC
RNAcentral lists this ribosomal RNA (439 nucleotides) under uncultured bacterium. Its description in RNAcentral is "partial 16S ribosomal RNA". It matches the Rfam family "Bacterial small subunit ribosomal RNA", at positions 338 to 795 of the family's 1533-position model. The record is from RNAcentral.